Molecule: unclassified non-coding RNA, 789 nt
Filed under: Hevea brasiliensis (rubber tree)
Lineage: Eukaryota; Viridiplantae; Streptophyta; Magnoliopsida; Malpighiales; Euphorbiaceae
Source: RNAcentral
CAAUAAAAAUAAUAAUACUAACAUCAAAAUAAUAAUAACAUUAAAAAUGAUAUACAUAUAUAUACAUAUUAAAAAAAUAUUUAUAAAGUCGGUUCUUCAAUUCGAUCAAUACGGUUCCUGUUCGGCUCUCAAAGAAUAACCAAAACCAAAGCAAAAUAGUAAAAAUUAGUUUGGUUUGGUACAAUUAGAUUUUAAUAGUAACGGUUCUUUUUUGGUUCCAGUACAAUUCUUGGGUUGAGUUCGGAACCCUUAGGAACUCUACACAACUCUACUUUCAAAGAUUAGCUAGCUAGUAUAAAUAGCAAAUACUAAAUCAUAAUUAGUAUGACUAAAUAAAAUAACUCACUUCUCUUAACACUCUAUUUUCUCUCCUCUUUUGUUUUCUCCCCCUCUUUAAUUCUGUUACCUCAAAUUUUUCUCCCCCUUCCAUUUCUUAGCUUCCAAAUACUGGCAAAACGGCAGCAAUUUUAGGCCCCAACACUGCAAAGAAACUAGAAUCUUUCUAGGCCUGUAAAUAAGUUGAAUUGCUUAGCAACAAGAGCUUGAGUUGUUAAAAGCUUAGUCAAUAUCUUUCACUACCAUUAAUAAGCCAAACUCAAGCUUACUAGAGUUAGGUAAAGUUUAACUCAUUUAGACUCGUGAGUGGAUUCGUUUGUAAGUUCAUGAGCCAAGUUAUAUAUAACUUAAUUAAUAAUUUAAUUUUAAAUUUUAUAUCAAUGUAUUUUUUUAAAUAUAUAUAGGAAUACUCAUUUAAAAUCGUUUAUAAUAUAGAUAUAAAGUAACAUCUUU